CCUACGGGAGGCAGCAGUGAGGAAUAUUGGUCAAUGGCCGUAAGGCUGAACCAGCCAAGUAGCGUGAGGGAAGACUGCCCUAUGGGUUGUAAACCUCUUUUAUACGGGGAUAAAGGUGUCCACGUGUGGGUGUUUGCAUGUACCGCAUGAAUAAGGACCGGCUAAUUCAGUGCCAGCAGCCGCGGUAAUACGGAAGGUCCGGGCGUUAUCCGGAUUUAUUGGGUUUAAAGGGAGCGUAGAUGGGUUGUUACGCAUGUUGUGAAAUUUUGCGGCUCAACCGUAAAAUUGCAAGUGAUACUGGCAGUCUUGAGUACAGUUAAGGUAGGCGGAAUUCGUGGUGUAGCGGUGAAAUGCUUAGAUAUGACGAAGAACCCCGAUUGCGAAGGCAGCUUACUAAAGUGUGACUGACAUUGAUGCUCGAAAGUGUGGGUAUCAAACAGGAUUAGAUACCCUAGUAGUC
Molecule: ribosomal RNA, 460 nt
Filed under: uncultured bacterium
Lineage: Bacteria
Description: partial 16S ribosomal RNA
Rfam family: Bacterial small subunit ribosomal RNA
Source: RNAcentral